Molecule: ribosomal RNA, 262 nt
Filed under: Klebsiella pneumoniae
Lineage: Bacteria; Pseudomonadati; Pseudomonadota; Gammaproteobacteria; Enterobacterales; Enterobacteriaceae
Description: partial 16S ribosomal RNA
Rfam family: Bacterial small subunit ribosomal RNA
Source: RNAcentral
AAAUUGAAGAGUUUGAUCAUGGCUCAGAUUGAACGCUGGCGGCAGGCCUAACACAUGCAAGUCGAGCGGUAGCACAGAGAGCUUGCUCUCGGGUGACGAGCGGCGGACGGGUGAGUAAUGUCUGGGAAACUGCCUGAUGGAGGGGGAUAACUACUGGAAACGGUAGCUAAUACCGCAUAACGUCGCAAGACCAAAGUGGGGGACCUUCGGGCCUCAUGCCAUCAGAUGUGCCCAGAUGGGAUUAGCUAGUAGGUGGGGUAAC